GGGUCAGUAGGUCGGUCGUGCCACUGGUAUGAACUGGUUUUACUGAUUCCUCCCUCUUGAAGAACUGUAAUGCCAUUAAUUUGGUGUCUUGGGGAAUCAGGACUGUUACUUUGAAAAAAUUAGAGUGUUUAAAGCAGGCUCACGCUUGAAUACAUUAGCAUGGAAUAACGAAAUAGGACGUUUGAUUCUAUUUUGUUGGUUUCUAGGAUUGACGUA
This 216-nucleotide ribosomal RNA is filed under the name Campeiostachys nutans. Its description in RNAcentral is "Elymus nutans partial small subunit ribosomal RNA". The stretch from base 38 to 216 matches the Rfam family "Eukaryotic small subunit ribosomal RNA", at positions 684 to 864 of the family's 1831-position model. The record is from RNAcentral. Lineage: Eukaryota; Viridiplantae; Streptophyta; Magnoliopsida; Poales; Poaceae.